Lepisosteus oculatus (spotted gar) is the source of this 744-nucleotide long non-coding RNA. RefSeq lists it as uncharacterized. NCBI's taxonomy places the organism in Eukaryota, Metazoa, Chordata, Actinopteri, Semionotiformes, Lepisosteidae. The record is from RefSeq and is a predicted model, not a curated record.
CACACUGUGCAAUAGAAGUGGUGUGCAGGUAUAUUACACAAGCUGUGGACAACCCGUUGAAGAUCUCUACAUGUUUGUGUCAUUUUAUGUGAACGGGCAAACGUUCCUGGAUUACCACUAUAAUGUUUGUGAGCCAGCCACUCAAAAAUUUCUGUUCUGUGGGCGCAAACGAGGAGAGCUAAUUUCUAAGGAUGGACCAGUUGAGAUCCCACUGAAAGCAAUCCCAUCAAUAUCUCUUUUUGUUUAAUGUGAUUGGUGAUGUUUGGCUGUUGGUCCCCAUGAUUAAUGCUCAUGUACAAUUCAAAUGACAGAAAACAAAUGCAACACAUGUGAGCCCACUGCUACCUCUGGUCGUCUUAUCAUCCCCAGGGUCACUUUGAAGUGAAAAUUAUGAUAUUGAUCCAGAACCAAUUUCUAAUCUGACGUCUUAAUUUCACCAUCAGCAAAAUGUGACAUACAUGUGUAUGAAAUCUGUUUUAUUUUGGUGCAGCUCAAAAUAUCAAUGUGAUUGUUUACUCUAAAUAUAAAAAAUGCUCAGCAUGGUAAUGUGUAUUUCAUUGUGUAUCUGUGCUCUGUUUGGUUCUCUUAUUACAUUUGCUGAUUAAUUCAUCCCUCUGCGGUUUCACUAUCUGAUGCAAUCUUGAGUCUGGAAAAAUCAAAGCCUGACAAGAAGUGCCAAUGGUCUUAAUACAAUCCGAGCUUGAUUAUUUGCAGCUCUCUGGAAUGCUUCCACAUCACUACAAA